AGCGUACACGGUGGAUGCCCUGGCAGUCAGAGGCGAUGAAGGACGUGCUAAUCUGCGAUAAGCGUCGGUAAGGUGAUAUGAACCGUUAUAACCGGCGAUUUCCGAAUGGGGAAACCCAGUGUGUUUCGACACACUAUCAUUAACUGAAUCCAUAGGUUAAUGAGGCGAACCGGGGGAACUGAAACAUCUAAGUACCCCGAGGAAAAGAAAUCAACCGAGAUUCCCCCAGUAGCGGCGAGCGAACGGGGAGCAGCCCAGAGCCUGAAUCAGUGUGUGUGUUAGUGGAAGCGUCUGGAAAGGCGCGCGAUACAGGGUGACAGCCCCGUACACAAAAAUGCACAUGCUGUGAGCUCGAUGAGUAGGGCGGGACACGUGGUAUCCUGUCUGAAUAUGGGGGGACCAUCCUCCAAGGCUAAAUACUCCUGACUGACCGAUAGUGAACCAGUACCGUGAGGGAAAGGCGAAAAGAACCCCGGCGAGGGGAGUGAAAAAGAACCUGAAACCGUGUACGUACAAGCAGUGGGAGCACGCUUCGGCGUGUGACUGCGUACCUUUUGUAUAAUGGGUCAGCGACUUAUAUUCUGUAGCAAGGUUAACCGAAUAGGGGAGCCGAAGGGAAACCGAGUCUUAACUGGGCGUUAAGUUGCAGGGUAUAGACCCGAAACCCGGUGAUCUAGCCAUGGGCAGGUUGAAGGUUGGGUAACACUAACUGGAGGACCGAACCGACUAAUGUUGAAAAAUUAGCGGAUGACUUGUGGCUGGGGGUGAAAGGCCAAUCAAACCGGGAGAUAGCUGGUUCUCCCCGAAAGCUAUUUAGGUAGCGCCUCGUGAAUUCAUCUCCGGGGGUAGAGCACUGUUUCGGCAAGGGGGUCAUCCCGACUUACCAACCCGAUGCAAACUGCGAAUACCGGAGAAUGUUAUCACGGGAGACACACGGCGGGUGCUAACGUCCGUCGUGAAGAGGGAAACAACCCAGACCGCCAGCUAAGGUCCCAAAGUCAUGGUUAAGUGGGAAACGAUGUGGGAAGGCCCAGACAGCCAGGAUGUUGGCUUAGAAGCAGCCAUCAUUUAAAGAAAGCGUAAUAGCUCACUGGUCGAGUCGGCCUGCGCGGAAGAUGUAACGGGGCUAAACCAUGCACCGAAGCUGCGGCAGCGACGCUUAUGCGUUGUUGGGUAGGGGAGCGUUCUGUAAGCCUGUGAAGGUGUGCUGUGAGGCAUGCUGGAGGUAUCAGAAGUGCGAAUGCUGACAUAAGUAACGAUAAAGCGGGUGAAAAGCCCGCUCGCCGGAAGACCAAGGGUUCCUGUCCAACGUUAAUCGGGGCAGGGUGAGUCGACCCCUAAGGCGAGGCCGAAAGGCGUAGUCGAUGGGAAACAGGUUAAUAUUCCUGUACUUGGUGUUACUGCGAAGGGGGGACGGAGAAGGCUAUGUUGGCCGGGCGACGGUUGUCCCGGUUUAAGCGUGUAGGCUGGUUUUCCAGGCAAAUCCGGAAAAUCAAGGCUGAGGCGUGAUGACGAGGCACUACGGUGCUGAAGCAACAAAUGCCCUGCUUCCAGGAAAAGCCUCUAAGCAUCAGGUAACAUCAAAUCGUACCCCAAACCGACACAGGUGGUCAGGUAGAGAAUACCAAGGCGCUUGAGAGAACUCGGGUGAAGGAACUAGGCAAAAUGGUGCCGUAACUUCGGGAGAAGGCACGCUGAUAUGUAGGUGAAGUCCCUCGCGGAUGGAGCUGAAAUCAGUCGAAGAUACCAGCUGGCUGCAACUGUUUAUUAAAAACACAGCACUGUGCAAACACGAAAGUGGACGUAUACGGUGUGACGCCUGCCCGGUGCCGGAAGGUUAAUUGAUGGGGUCAGCGCAAGCGAAGCUCUUGAUCGAAGCCCCGGUAAACGGCGGCCGUAACUAUAACGGUCCUAAGGUAGCGAAAUUCCUUGUCGGGUAAGUUCCGACCUGCACGAAUGGCGUAAUGAUGGCCAGGCUGUCUCCACCCGAGACUCAGUGAAAUUGAACUCGCUGUGAAGAUGCAGUGUACCCGCGGCAAGACGGAAAGACCCCGUGAACCUUUACUAUAGCUUGACACUGAACAUUGAGCCUUGAUGUGUAGGAUAGGUGGGAGGCUUGGAAGUGUGGACGCCAGUCUGCAUGGAGCCGACCUUGAAAUACCACCCUUUAAUGUUUGAUGUUCUAACGUUGACCCGUAAUCCGGGUUGCGGACAGUGUCUGGUGGGUAGUUUGACUGGGGCGGUCUCCUCCUAAAGAGUAACGGAGGAGCACGAAGGUUGGCUAAUCCUGGUCGGACAUCAGGAGGUUAGUGCAAUGGCAUAAGCCAGCUUGACUGCGAGCGUGACGGCGCGAGCAGGUGCGAAAGCAGGUCAUAGUGAUCCGGUGGUUCUGAAUGGAAGGGCCAUCGCUCAACGGAUAAAAGGUACUCCGGGGAUAACAGGCUGAUACCGCCCAAGAGUUCAUAUCGACGGCGGUGUUUGGCACCUCGAUGUCGGCUCAUCACAUCCUGGGGCUGAAGUAGGUCCCAAGGGUAUGGCUGUUCGCCAUUUAAAGUGGUACGCGAGCUGGGUUUAGAACGUCGUGAGACAGUUCGGUCCCUAUCUGCCGUGGGCGCUGGAGAACUGAGGGGGGCUGCUCCUAGUACGAGAGGACCGGAGUGGACGCAUCACUGGUGUUCGGGUUGUCAUGCCAAUGGCACUGCCCGGUAGCUAAAUGCGGAAGAGAUAAGUGCUGAAAGCAUCUAAGCACGAAACUUGCCCCGAGAUGAGUUCUCCCUGACUCCUUGA
Molecule: ribosomal RNA, 2787 nt
Filed under: Escherichia coli
Lineage: Bacteria; Pseudomonadati; Pseudomonadota; Gammaproteobacteria; Enterobacterales; Enterobacteriaceae
Description: bacterial LSU rRNA
Rfam family: Bacterial large subunit ribosomal RNA
Source: RNAcentral